This 468-nucleotide ribosomal RNA is filed under the name uncultured bacterium. Its description in RNAcentral is "partial 16S ribosomal RNA". It matches the Rfam family "Bacterial small subunit ribosomal RNA", at positions 28 to 507 of the family's 1533-position model. The record is from RNAcentral.
GACGAACGCUGGCGGCGUGCUUAACACAUGCAAGUCGAACGGAAAGGCCCUGCUUUUGUGGGGUGCUCGAGUGGCGAACGGGUGAGUAACACGUGAGUAACCUGCCCUUGACUUUGGGAUAACUUCAGGAAACUGGGGCUAAUACCGGAUAGGAGCUCCUGCUGCAUGGUGGGGGUUGGAAAGUUUCGGCGGUUGGGGAUGGACUCGCGGCUUAUCAGCUUGUUGGUGGGGUAGUGGCUUACCAAGGCUUUGACGGGUAGCCGGCCUGAGAGGGUGACCGGCCACAUGGGGACUGAGAUACGGCCCAGACUCGUACGGGAGGCAGCAGUGGGGAAUAUUGCACAAUGGGCGGAAGCCUAAUGCAGCAACGCCGCGUGCGGAAUGACGGCCUUCGGGUUGUAAACCGCUUUAGCCUGUGACGAAGCGUGAGUGACGGUAAUGGGUAAAGAAGCACCGGCUAACUACGUG